Colossoma macropomum (tambaqui) is the source of this 1119-nucleotide long non-coding RNA. RefSeq lists it as uncharacterized. The record is from RefSeq and is a predicted model, not a curated record. NCBI's taxonomy places the organism in Eukaryota, Metazoa, Chordata, Actinopteri, Characiformes, Serrasalmidae. The transcript is spliced from 2 exons.
GGGAACAGUUCUCCACCUAUGAGGAAGCAUUAAGCCAGGAGCCAGUCCAUGGAAGUAAUAACAAAUCAAAAAGUUUCCCAUUUUGGCAAAGAGGAUUCAUACAAUGUGAGACAGACAGGACAAAACCAACCAUGGGGUACUUAGGAGCCUGUUCACUGUACUGUACACAUAUAUCUAUGGGAGUAACUACUGAACUACUAAACUGACCUGUGUGCAUUAUCCCUGACCCAAACCAUGUAAGUAUUUUUGAUAGAUUAAUUUGUUUUACACACGCAGGCUACUGAGACAUAGGCUUUUUAAAAAUCACUGCUAUGAACACAGACUGCUGUUAGCACCGUCGAGUCACCCUGAAGAUGAGGACACACCAGGGGAACAAAGGAGCAUUUUCUGCCUGAAGUCAGCUGUGGGCAACCUGAGCUGAGCUGCCCGCCUUAUCAGUGACUCUGUAACAUCAGACUCAUGAGGCUUUCUCUUUUUUUCGCUCGGGGGGAAACGAGCGGGCUGUGAAACUGAACCUCUGGGUCAGCGAGUUCAGUUUAACCAACGGACGUUUUUCCAGCUCUGUUGAAAACACCUCAGCGCUACCUUUAACCUGAGGGGGCCUGGGGACAAGAGGUUAGCGCGCUAAGUUAGUUAGCUAGGUUACCUGACUCAGUAAUAUCACCCCUCCUCCCCCCUCCUUACCUCUCCACCGCAGUGGGUCAACUCACCCACCUGAGGCCGCGCUGGGGUGCGACACAGUCGCGCUGUCGUCUGCAGCCGCAGAUAAGAGCAGGAGUUUCUCUCUAAUCCAGGGGAAGUCCUGCUCGAGGGAGCUGAGAAAGGCGCCGAAGGCGAGAGGGCCGCGGCCGGGCAGGAUAGCGAGCAGCCUCAGAGUCUUGUUUUUGUUCGACGGCUGUGACUGAAUCUCCUCCACCUGGCUCUCCGUUAAAAUGCCCUCUUGAUACAAGUACUGAAUAAUCGUGUCGUCGACUAUGAGCUGCUCGGAGAGGUGCAGCCUGUGCGCUCGAAGAAUUUCUUUAUGCUUCGGGUCCAUAAUUUUACGGAUUUUCGAGCUGAGAGUGAAACUAUGCUGCUAGCAAACGUCUGCUAGUCCUGCUAGCGGUGUGGAGAGAGAAA